Molecule: ribosomal RNA, 420 nt
Filed under: uncultured Mesorhizobium sp.
Lineage: Bacteria; Pseudomonadati; Pseudomonadota; Alphaproteobacteria; Hyphomicrobiales; Phyllobacteriaceae
Description: bacterial SSU rRNA
Rfam family: Bacterial small subunit ribosomal RNA
Source: RNAcentral
CAGCCCUUGACAUCCCGGUCGCGGCUUCCAGAGAUGGAGGCCUUCAGUUCGGCUGGACCGGCGACAGGUGCUGCAUGGCUGUCGUCAGCUCGUGUCGUGAGAUGUUGGGUUAAGUCCCGCAACGAGCGCAACCCUCGCCCUUAGUUGCCAUCAUUCAGUUGGGCACUCUAAGGGGACUGCCGGUGAUAAGCCGAGAGGAAGGUGGGGAUGACGUCAAGUCCUCAUGGCCCUUACGGGCUGGGCUACACACGUGCUACAAUGGUGGUGACAAUGGGCAGCGAGGCCGCGAGGCCAAGCUAAUCUCAAAAAGCCAUCUCAGUUCGGAUUGCACUCUGCAACUCGGGUGCAUGAAGUUGGAAUCGCCAGUAAUCGCAGAUCAGCACGCUGCGGUGAAUACGUUCCCGGGUCUUGUACACACGC